AGUUAUCGUUUAUUUGAUAGUACCUUACUACUUGGAUAACCGUGGUAAUUCUAGAGCUAAUACAUGCAUAAAACCCCAACUUCGGGAGGGGUGUAUUUAUUAGAUAAAAAACCAAUGCCCUUCGGGGCUCUUUGGUGAUUCAUAAUAACUUCUCAGAUCGCAUGGCCCUGCGCCGGCGACGGUUCAUUCAAAUUUCUGCCCUAUCAACUUUCGAUGGUAAGGUAGUGGCUUACCAUGGUUUCAACGGGUAACGGGGAAUUAGGGUUCGAUUCCGGAGAGUGGGCCUGAGAAACGGCCCACACAUCCAAGGAAGGCAGCAGGCGCGCAAAUUACCCAAUUCUAAUACAGAGAGGUAGUGACAAUAAAUACUGAUACAGGGCUCUUUUGGGUCUUGUAAUUGGAAUGAGUACAAUUUAAACCUCUUAACGAGGAACAAUUGGAGGGCAAGUCUGGUGCCAGCAGCCGCGGUAAUUCCAGCUCCAAUAGCGUAUAUUAAAGUUGUUGCAGUUAAAAAGCUCGUAGUUGAACCUUUGGCCUGGCUGGCAGGUCCGCCUCACCGCGUGCACUUGUCCGGCCGGGCCUUUUCUUCUGGAGAACCGCAUGCCCUUUACUGGGUGUGUUGGGGACCAGGACUUUUACUUUGAAAAAAUUAGAGUGUUCAAAGCAGGCCUUUGCUCGAAUACGUUAGCAUGGAAUAAUGAAAUAGGACGUGCGGUCCUAUUUUGUUGGUUUCUAGGACCGCCGUAAUGAUUAAUAGGGACAGUCGGGGGCAUCAGUAUUCAAUUGUCAGAGGUGAAAUUCUUGGAUUUAUUGAAGACUAACUACUGCGAAAGCAUUUGCCAAGGAUGUUUUCAUUAAUCAGUGAACGAAAGUUAGGGGAUCGAAGACGAUCAGAUACCGUCGUAGUCUUAACCAUAAACUAUGCCGACUAGGGAUCGGGCGGUGUUUCUAUUGGACCCGCUCGGCACCUUACGAGAAAUCAA
Molecule: ribosomal RNA, 983 nt
Filed under: Didymosphaeriaceae sp.
Lineage: Eukaryota; Fungi; Ascomycota; Dothideomycetes; Pleosporales; Didymosphaeriaceae
Description: SSU rRNA
Rfam family: Eukaryotic small subunit ribosomal RNA
Source: RNAcentral